Molecule: ribosomal RNA, 383 nt
Filed under: uncultured eukaryote
Lineage: Eukaryota
Description: partial 18S ribosomal RNA
Rfam family: Eukaryotic small subunit ribosomal RNA
Source: RNAcentral
CAAUAGCGUAUAUUAAAGUUGUUGCAGUUAAAAAGCUCGUAGUUGGAUUUCUGGUGGGAGCGAUCGGUCUGGCGCUUAGCGCGAGUACUUGCAUCGUCUCCGGCCUUCCUUGGGGAGAGUCUGUCUGGCAUUAGGUUGUCGGGCAGAGGAUCCUCAUCGUUUACUGUGAAAAAAUUAGAGUGUUCAAAGCAGGCUUAUGCCGUUGAAUAUAUUAGCAUGGAAUAAUAAGAUAGGACUUUGGUACUAUUUUGUUGGUUUGCGCACCAAAGUAAUGAUUAAUAGGGACAGUUGGGGGUAUUCGUAUUCCGUUGUCAGAGGUGAAAUUCUUGGAUUUACGGAAGACGAACUACUGCGAAAGCAUUUACCAAGGAUGUUUUCAUUAA